AACGUAGGACGCAAGCGUUAUCCGGAGUUACUGGGCGUAAAGCGCGGGCAGGCGGUCUUGCCAGUCUGAUGUGAAAUCUCUCAGCUCAACUGGGAGCAGCCAUUGGAAACUACAAGACUGGAGUCUGACAGAGGUAGGCGGAAUUCCGGGUGGAGUGGUGAAAUGCGUAGAGAUCCGGAGGAACACCAGAGGCGAAGGCGGCCUACUGGGUCAGUACUGACGCUGAGGUGCGAAAGCGUGGGGAGCAAACAGG
RNAcentral lists this ribosomal RNA (253 nucleotides) under uncultured bacterium. RNAcentral's name for it is "partial 16S ribosomal RNA". It matches the Rfam family "Bacterial small subunit ribosomal RNA", at positions 524 to 776 of the family's 1533-position model. The record is from RNAcentral.